GACGAACGCUGGCGGCGUGCUUAACACAUGCAAGUCGAACGAUGAAGAAAAGAAUCGAAGCUUCGGCAGAAAUUCAUUUCGGAUUAGUGGCAGACGGGUGAGUAACGCGUGAGCAACCUACCUCUUACAAAGGGAUAGCCUCGGGAAACCGGGAUUAAUACCAUAUAACAUUGCGACGAAGCAUUUCGAUGCAAUCAAAGCUACGGCGGUAAGAGAUGGGCUCGCGUCCCAUUAACCGGAUGGUGAGGUAACGGCUCACCAUAGUGACGAUGGGUAACCGGCCUGAGAGGGUGAACGGUCACACUGGAACUGAGACACGGUCCAGACUCCUACGGGAGGCAGCAGUGGGGAAUAUUGCACAAUGGAGGGAACUCUGAUGCAGCGACGCCGCGUGAGUGAUGAAGGAAUUCGUUUCGUAAAACUCUGUUCUAUGGGAAGAAAAGGACUGUACCAUAGGAGAAAGCUCCGGCUAAAUACGUA
Molecule: ribosomal RNA, 480 nt
Filed under: uncultured bacterium
Lineage: Bacteria
Description: partial 16S ribosomal RNA
Rfam family: Bacterial small subunit ribosomal RNA
Source: RNAcentral